GUUGAAACAAUCGUUCCCGUACGAUCAGCGAAGUUAAGCAAAAUCGAACCUGUUCAGUACCUAGAUGGGUGAUUGUUUGGGAAUACCAGGUGCU
This 94-nucleotide ribosomal RNA is filed under the name Acanthosepion pharaonis. The record is from RNAcentral. Lineage: Eukaryota; Metazoa; Mollusca; Cephalopoda; Sepiida; Sepiidae.